GAGUCAUUGGGACUCUGUUAAACCUAAAGGCGCAAUGAAAGUAAAGGUCCGCCUCGCGCGGACCGAGGGAGGAUGGGCCCGUCCACGGGCGGGCCCCGCACUCCCGGGGCGUCUCGUUCUCAUAGCGAGAAGAGGCGCACCCAGAGCGUACACGCUGGGACCCGAAAGAUGGUGAACUAUGCCUGGUCAGGACGAAGUCAGGGGAAACCCUGAUGGAGGUCCGUAGCGAUUCUGACGUGCAAAUCGAUCGUCGGAACUGGGUAUAGG
RNAcentral lists this ribosomal RNA (267 nucleotides) under Arachnodes sp. 1 HKW-2010. Its description in RNAcentral is "partial 28S ribosomal RNA". It matches the Rfam family "Eukaryotic large subunit ribosomal RNA", at positions 688 to 921 of the family's 3401-position model. Lineage: Eukaryota; Metazoa; Arthropoda; Insecta; Coleoptera; Scarabaeidae. The record is from RNAcentral.